UGGCGGCGUGCCUAACACAUGCAAAGGUCGAACGGACUGCGAGGAGCUUGCUCCUCAAAGUUAGUGGCGGACGGGUGAGUAACGCGUGAGUAACCUGCCUUACAGAGGGGGAUAACGUUUGGAAACGAACGCUAAUACCGCAUAAUGUAUCUGAUAUCGCAUGGUAUUGAUACCAAAGAUUUUAUCGCUGUAAGAUGGACUCGCGUCUGAUUAGAUAGUUGGCGGGGUAACGGCCCACCAAGUCGACGAUCAGUAGCCGGACUGAGAGGUUGAACGGCCACAUUGGGACUGAGACACGGCCCAGACUCCUACGGGAGGCAGCAGUGAGGGAUAUUGCACAAUGGGCGCAAGCCUGAUGCAGCAACGCCGCGUGAGGGAUGACGGUUUUCGGAUUGUAAACCUCUGUCUUUGGUGAAGAUAAUGACAUUAGCCAAGGAGGAAGCCACGGCUAACUACGUG
Molecule: ribosomal RNA, 459 nt
Filed under: uncultured bacterium
Lineage: Bacteria
Description: bacterial SSU rRNA
Rfam family: Bacterial small subunit ribosomal RNA
Source: RNAcentral